Myotis davidii is the source of this 74-nucleotide non-coding RNA. The record is from Rfam. NCBI's taxonomy places the organism in Eukaryota, Metazoa, Chordata, Mammalia, Chiroptera, Vespertilionidae.
GGCGGUUCUCAAAUGACACACCCUGGAAUCGGGCUCCCUCCUCUCUGGUUCUGGUAUGUCACCUGAGAACUGCA